Molecule: ribosomal RNA, 253 nt
Filed under: uncultured bacterium
Lineage: Bacteria
Description: partial 16S ribosomal RNA
Rfam family: Bacterial small subunit ribosomal RNA
Source: RNAcentral
GACAGAGGGUGCAAACGUUGUUCGGAAUUACUGGGCGUAAAGCGCGUGUAGGCUGCUUCGCAAGUCGGAUGUGAAAGCCCUGGGCUCAACCCAGGAAGUGCAUUCGAAACUGCAGAGCUGGAGUCCUGGAGAGGAAGGCGGAAUUCUCGGUGUAGAGGUGAAAUUCGUAGAUAUCGAGAGGAACACCGGUGGCGAAGGCGGCAUCCUGGACCGACACUGACGCUGAGGAGCGAAAGCCAGGGGAGCAAACGGG